GCCCGUAUAGUAUAGUGGUUAUUAUUUCUCACUCGUACUUUGCUUCGGCGAGUUGAUGAGAGGGUCCCUAGUUCAAAUCUGGGUGCGGGCA
Molecule: non-coding RNA, 91 nt
Organism: Malassezia vespertilionis
Lineage: Eukaryota; Fungi; Basidiomycota; Malasseziomycetes; Malasseziales; Malasseziaceae
Source: the annotation of a RefSeq genome assembly